ACGGGUGAGUAACACGUGGGAACCUUCCUAGAGGUACGGAACAACUCAGGGAAACUUGAGCUAAUACCGUAUACGCUCUUGCGAGGAAAGAUUUAUCGCCUUUAGACGGGCCCGCGUAGGAUUAGGUAGUUGGUGGGGUAACGGCCUACCAAGCCUACGAUCCUUAGCUGAUCUGAGAGGAUGAUCAGCCACACUGGGACUGAGACACGGCCCAGACUCCUACGGGAGGCAGCAGUGGGGAAUCUUGGACAAUGGGCGCAAGCCUGAUCCAGCCAUGCCGCGUGAGUGAAGAAGGCCUUCGGGUUGUAAAGCUCUUUUGUCAGGGACGAUAAUGACGGUACCUGAAGAAUAAGCCCCGGCAAACUUCGUGCCAGCAGCCGCGGUAAUACGAAGGGGGCUAGCGUUGUUCGGAAUUACUGGGCGUAAAGCGCACGUAGGCUGAUACUUAAGUGAGGGGUGAAAUCCCGAGGCUCAACCUCGGAACUGCCUUUCAUACUGGGUAUCUGGAGUCCGGAAGAGGUUAGUGGAAUUCCCAGUGUAGAGGUGAAAUUCGUAGA
RNAcentral lists this ribosomal RNA (557 nucleotides) under uncultured bacterium. RNAcentral describes it as "bacterial SSU rRNA". It matches the Rfam family "Bacterial small subunit ribosomal RNA", at positions 102 to 694 of the family's 1533-position model. The record is from RNAcentral.